Molecule: unclassified non-coding RNA, 239 nt
Filed under: Hevea brasiliensis (rubber tree)
Lineage: Eukaryota; Viridiplantae; Streptophyta; Magnoliopsida; Malpighiales; Euphorbiaceae
Source: RNAcentral
GAAUUUAUUGUAAGUGCUGGUAAUUUGGGAUUGAUUGCUAGAAACUUGGGGUUGUGAGGCAUGCUAAACGACAUUGUUUAGCUAAGAACAUCAGAGUUUGGGCAUUCCCUACGACCGACAGUUCCGAACCCAUUCAGUUCUUCUCUCAAUUCAGUCCAGUUCAGUUAAGUUGACAUCUCACAUGAUUUUAGUUUUCCUGUUUUUCGAUUUCAGUUUGAUUUGGAACCAAACUGCCAGUU